This 104-nucleotide microRNA precursor is filed under the name Marmota monax (woodchuck). The record is from RNAcentral. Lineage: Eukaryota; Metazoa; Chordata; Mammalia; Rodentia; Sciuridae.
AUAUGAAUCAUCAGGGGACCUUGUUAAAGUGCAAAUUCUGAUAUUGUAGGUCUGAAACAGGACCCAAGAUUCUAAAUUGUAAUAAGCUCUCAAGUGAUGUCCAU